Molecule: ribosomal RNA, 466 nt
Filed under: uncultured bacterium
Lineage: Bacteria
Description: partial 16S ribosomal RNA
Rfam family: Bacterial small subunit ribosomal RNA
Source: RNAcentral
CUACGGGAGGCUGCAGUGGGGAAUAUUGGACAAUGGGGGAAACCCUGAUCCAGCAAUGCCGCGUGUGUGAAGAAGGCCUGCGGGUUGUAAAGCACUUUCGGUUGGGAGGACUGCUUCUAGCACUAAUAUUGUUGGAAGUUGACGUUACCUUCAGAAGAAGCACCGGCUAACUCCGUGCCAGCAGCCGCGGUAAUACGGAGGGUGGCAAGCGUAAAUCGGAAUUACUGGGCGUAAAGCGCGCGUAGGCGGCUAGAUCAGUCGGGUGUGAAAGCCCCGGGCUUAACCUGGGAACUGCAUCCGAUACUGUCUAGCUUGAGUACAGGAGAGGAGAGUGGAAUUCCACAUGUAGUGGUGAAAUGCGUAGAUAUGUGGAGGAACACCAAUGGCGAAGGCAGCUCUCUGGCCUGAUACUGACGCUGAGGUGCGAAAGCGUGGGGAGCAAACAGGAUUAGAUACCCUAGUAGUC